CGGUUUUUGAAAGUCAUAUUUCUUCAUUUGACUUCCGCACUCAGGGCAAGAUGGGGCGUCGUAGUCCAGUUUGGCGAUGAUUUCCU
This 86-nucleotide transfer RNA is filed under the name Streptococcus pneumoniae SPNA45. Its description in RNAcentral is "tRNA-Leu-TAA". Lineage: Bacteria; Bacillati; Bacillota; Bacilli; Lactobacillales; Streptococcaceae. The record is from RNAcentral.